AUGACUUUGAUCUCCGUCCUCAUCUGGACUCUCCUCUGCUGCUGCUUCACAGAGUCCAGAGGCCAGAUCACAGUGACUCAGCCUGCAGCAGUGAGAUCUGCUCUGGGAGGCUCCACAACCAUCAAAUGUAAAACCAGUCCACAGGUUUUUAUUGGGAGCUACCACUAUUUAGCCUGGUACCAACAGAGAGAUGGAGAAAUUCCUAAGCUGCUCAUUACCAGAUCUACUUACAGAGAAUCAGGGAUUCCAGAUCGUUUUUCAGGCAGCGGAUCAAACUCUGACUUCACUCUGACCAUCAGUGGAGUUCAGGCUGAAGAUGCAGCAGUUUAUUACUGUCAGAGUCUCCACUAUCCCAACAGUCAGUAUGUGUACACGUUCGGUGGAGGAACGAGACUGGAUGUUGGAAGUGAUGUCCGUCCCACCCUGACAGUGCUGCCCCCCUCCAGUGAGGAGCUGCAGCAGGGGAAGGCCACGCUCAUGUGUCUGGCCAAUGAUGGCUUCCCCUCAGACUGGAGUCUGGCCUGGAAGGUGGACGGCAGGAGCAGCAGCAGCUUGGAGCAGAGCAGGAGCCCCGGGGUGCUGCAGAAGGACGGCCGCUACAGCUGGAGCAGCACCCUGAGGCUCCCUGCAGACCAGUGGAGGAAGGUGGUCUCUGUGACCUGUGAGGCCACCCAGGGCUCCCAGACUCCAGUCUCAGAGACACUGAGGAGAGACCAGUGUUCCCAGUCCUGA
Molecule: non-coding RNA, 732 nt
Organism: Thunnus maccoyii (southern bluefin tuna)
Lineage: Eukaryota; Metazoa; Chordata; Actinopteri; Scombriformes; Scombridae
Source: the annotation of a RefSeq genome assembly